This 1635-nucleotide ribosomal RNA is filed under the name Triticum aestivum (bread wheat). RNAcentral describes it as "partial small subunit ribosomal RNA". Lineage: Eukaryota; Viridiplantae; Streptophyta; Magnoliopsida; Poales; Poaceae. The record is from RNAcentral.
UGGGCGCCAGCCGGUCGGGUCGGUCAGUCAGGGGCAAGGCAGGGCGGGGCCGCUGAGGCGGUGGGCGGGGAGAGCGGAGUGGAAGGGACGUGCGGGGUCGUCAACUGGGCGCGCUGCGCGGCGAGCAGUCUAGUCUACCUGGUACGGUUCCUCGGCAGAGGGUGCGCCAUUAGUUAGGUAGUUAGGAAGGGCGGAAGGGGCGCUAAGCGGAGGGCGCGCGUAAGAACAAAGACGGACGCGCUGGCCGCCGCUACCGACUGCGCCCGCCACCGUGCACGUCCCGCACCACCAGCUCCCUGUGCCACCGGCACCACUGCCCGCGGUUGGCCCCGUAGCCGGUGAGCCACCGGCGCGCCGAGCGCCUCGUGCCGGAGUGGCAGCACGAGUGGCGCGCCCUGCCGCUCGCGCCCCUCCGGCGGCGGCGCGGCGAGGCGCUGGCGCCCGAGGGGCAGCAGAAGGCGGCGGAGCUGCAGAGGCUGGGGCGGAGGCAGCGGCGGAAGCGGCGGACCGAGGCGCUGUGGCAGCCGCCGGAGCUGUAGGACCACUUGUUACGGCGCCACAGCAAGUUGCUCUAGCUGUGGUUGAGCCACCUCGUGCGCCUCUGCCAGGAGUUGUGGUUGAAGAUGCCCUGGUUCGACGACUGGCUCCGCGAGGACGGGGAGAAGGCCGCUAGCGGCCGGUGGUCGGCCUAAGAGUUGUAGUCGAGCGUCGAACCGGAAGAAUUGUUCCACGCGUUGGGCAGCGACUCCUCCGACGAGGACCUGCUCCUCUGGGACUGCCUCCCGUUCUAGCUCCGGUACCACAGCGUCAAGGACCGCGUCCAGUUCCUGCCCUGCACCCGCCUUUUGCCCACCGGGUUCCACACCUGCCUGAUGCGGCAGAGGUUCGACCGCCAUUUGCGGAUGUGGGCGCAGGACCGCGCGGCCGACGUCAGGCCGCCGCUCGCGCAGUCGCAGUUGACGAAGACGGGGCCCAAGUGCGCCUGGCUGUACUGGUUCCCCACCCCGUUCGCGUGGCGGCUCCUCCACCGGCUGAAGCCGCGGGCCGACCGCGACGAGGGCGGGCCGCUCGAGGGGUGGCCGUGGAAGAAGUUCACCGCGUGCGGCGUCGAGAUGAGGUUCGACACUCUCUGCCUCCUACCGUGCAUAGGCUACCACAAGCAGAUAUGCAGGGCACGCACCAGCUACCAACGACCUUAAGAACCGUGGCACGACAUGCAGGCACCACCUCAUUUAUAGAACAAAGUCAAAUCGGUAGCAACAUCGAUUCAACUACGAAGAUGGAUUCACAUGUUAUCGACUAUUUAGUCACCACAAGGUGAGCAGGGUAACGAAACCUAGAAUUGUGCCGUACCUAAGUUCGUAGCAGAGUAACGAAUCGGCAGUGAUUCUACCAUCUCCCGUCACACUCGGGCACGUCACCGUAGAAGGCCCUUUAGUUCGUCUUCGUAUCCGUGACACACACCGUUGCAGGGGAGAAGCGGUCUACCUCUUAUUAAACCUACUAGUACAGUAUCGUCCCCGGCGGAACCGAUCUUUCAUCCCGUAGUACAAGCCAAGGAACGAGGAGGCCUCUUGCGAACAUAAGGCAAACUGUAACUAAUUAUUCUCGUUGAGGUUACCCCGCGGGUAAAGC